CCAUUUACCAAGGUCUCACUUUGUACCAGGUGAUAUGGUAAGCCUUUUACAUACGAUGUCUCAUUUAAAUCCUUAUAAAGAUCCUGUUUUAUAGAUAAGGAAUAGGACUAGUUAAGUAACUUGUACCAAAUCACAGAGCUCACACAUUUACUUGGGACUUGAACCCACACCUCUUUUUCCUAGAAUAGUAACUCUUAACUAUCUGUACUUCCCUCCAGAUGUCCUUCCUAUGACUUCCCCUGGGGUGUGUUGAUUUUUUCAGGCCCUAGUUUUCUUUUGCUCUUCCUUUUCUUCUUGUAGGAAUCUCUCAUAUUUGCACAAAUCCCAAGGUCUAAGAAUACACUUUCAGCAUCUUAAAAUAUAAAUAAAAGAAGGAUUGGUCCACUUUCUGUUUGGGGUAACUUUUAAAGAAAAGAGGUUUAUUUUGGCUCACAGUCCUGCAGGCUGGGAAGUCUAAAAAUACCAGCUUCUGCUGAGGGUUCUGUCCUGCUUCAACUCAUGGUGGAAAGUGGAAAGGAGCCAGACAAAUAUGAAAGAGACAAAGAGGGAUGGACUUCCUUUUAAUCACCCGCUCUUGUGACUAAUCUAGUCAUGUGGGGGCAAGAGCGCACUCACUGGAAGAGGUCACGAAUCCAGUCAUGAUCCUCCACCCUUAGGACGCAAACAGCUUCCUCUACUCCAUGCUUGUGAUGCUGCUGCAUUGAGGGCCAUACUUCAGCCUUAGCUUUGGUGAGGACAGAACCCAUCCAAACCAUCGCAGGUGGCCUCACUUUAGAGAGAAGUUUUUUUCAUUCUGUUGAACAAAGCCUCAGCUACCGUAUGCAUUUAUUUUGUGAAAGGACCAAAAUUAACAGAGCUAUGUCUACAAUGGAUGUUUGAAGUGACACUGAGGUGGUUGUAAAGAAUGUGGGCAUUUUAGGCUGCAGACCUCGGUUACAGUCCUGCCUCUGCUUCCUCGAUGAGCAAUCACGAGCAGCAGCUUCUCAGCUCUUCUUGGUUCAUUUGCUUCUCUGUGAAGCAUGGCCAUCAUACCUACAGAUGCUGGAUACUCUGCCCGUAACGUGAAAAUGUUUUGGCCACUUAACAACACACAAGAAUUCUACCAUACUGUCAGUCUGAGAAAAACUUUGAUGCAUGAGAAAGAAGAUCUAGACCUGAGCCAAGUCUAACUCUUAUCUUGGUCUCGGAAUGGGCAAAUGCCCUCAGUGGGAAGGACUUGAG
Molecule: long non-coding RNA, 1221 nt
Organism: Chinchilla lanigera (long-tailed chinchilla)
Lineage: Eukaryota; Metazoa; Chordata; Mammalia; Rodentia; Chinchillidae
Exons: 4
Source: RefSeq, a predicted model, not a curated record